AAGAAUUUAAGUUAAUUAAACUAUUAGCCUUCAAAGCUUAAAUUAAAAUAAAAUUUUUAAUUCUUA
Molecule: transfer RNA, 66 nt
Filed under: Curculionoidea sp. 16 KM-2017
Lineage: Eukaryota; Metazoa; Arthropoda; Insecta; Coleoptera
Description: tRNA-Trp
Source: RNAcentral